This 324-nucleotide ribosomal RNA is filed under the name uncultured Anaerolineaceae bacterium. RNAcentral's name for it is "bacterial SSU rRNA". It matches the Rfam family "Bacterial small subunit ribosomal RNA", at positions 1041 to 1382 of the family's 1533-position model. Lineage: Bacteria; Bacillati; Chloroflexota; Anaerolineae; Anaerolineales; Anaerolineaceae. The record is from RNAcentral.
CUGCAUGGCUGUCGUCAGCUCGUGUCGUGAGAUGUUCGGUUAAGUCCGCUAACGAGCGCAACCCUCACUGUGUGUUAUAUGUGUCACACGGGACUGCCGGUUUUAAGCGGAGGAGGUGGGAUGACGUCAGGUCAGCAUGGCCUUUAUAUCCUGGGCUACACACACGCUACAAUGGUCGGUACAAUAGGUUGCCAAGCCGCGAGGCGGAGCCAAUCCACAAAGCCGGCCUCAGUUCAGAUUGUAGGCUGCAACUCGCCUGCAUGAAGAUGGAGUUGCUAGUAACCGCAGGUCAGCAAUACUGCGGUGAAUACGUUCCCGGGUCUU